RNAcentral lists this unclassified non-coding RNA (241 nucleotides) under Filobasidium chernovii. Its description in RNAcentral is "partial internal transcribed spacer 2". RNAcentral also lists the same sequence under 1 other name. The record is from RNAcentral. Lineage: Eukaryota; Fungi; Basidiomycota; Tremellomycetes; Filobasidiales; Filobasidiaceae.
AACUCUCAAACCCAAGUUUUGGAUUUCGAUCCAUGCUUGAGUUUGGAUUUGGAUGUUUGCCGGUGAUAAGCCGACUCAUCUUAAAAGUAUUAGCUAGAUCUGUCUCUAUGACUGGUUUGACUUGGCAUAAUAAGUAUUUUGCUGAGGACAUCUUCGGAUGGCCAGGACCUAGACUAUUGUCUGCUAACUAAACCAUCACUUUAAGUGCAUCUUCGGAUGUUACUCAUUGUGUAACUUUGAC